Small nuclear RNA from Manis pentadactyla (Chinese pangolin), 117 nucleotides. RefSeq annotates it as U5 spliceosomal RNA. The record is from RefSeq and is a predicted model, not a curated record. The transcript has a single exon. NCBI's taxonomy places the organism in Eukaryota, Metazoa, Chordata, Mammalia, Pholidota, Manidae.
AUACUCUGGUUUCUCUUCAGAUCGUAUAAGUCUUUCGCCUUUUACUAAAGAUUUCCGUGGGGAGAAAUAGUUCUGAGUAAUCAGCUAAUUUUUUUAAGCCUUGUAUUUGGCAAGGCU